GUGUUCUCUUCAGCAGCACAUAUACUAAAAUUUAAAUGACACAGAGAAGAUUAGCAUGGCCCCUAAGCAAGGAUGACAUGCAAAGUAACUUUGCCAAAUUAUU
RNAcentral lists this small nuclear RNA (103 nucleotides) under Pteropus vampyrus (large flying fox). The record is from RNAcentral. Lineage: Eukaryota; Metazoa; Chordata; Mammalia; Chiroptera; Pteropodidae.